RNAcentral lists this ribosomal RNA (405 nucleotides) under uncultured bacterium. RNAcentral's name for it is "bacterial SSU rRNA". It matches the Rfam family "Bacterial small subunit ribosomal RNA", at positions 85 to 518 of the family's 1533-position model. The record is from RNAcentral.
UUCGGGGUGAGCGGCGGACGGGUUAGUAACGCGUGGGAACGUACCCUUUGGUAGGGAAUAGCCACUGGAAACGGUGAGUUAAUACCCUAUGAGCCCUUCGGGGGAAAGAUUUAUCGCCAAAAGGAUCGGGCCCGCGUUUAGAUUUAGGUAGUUGGUGGGGUAAAUGGCCUACCAAGCCUACGAUCUAUAGCUGGUUUUAGAGGAUGAUCAGCAACACUGGGACUGAGACACGGCCCAGACUCCUACGGGAGGCAGCAGUUGGGGAAUCUUGGACAAUGGGGGCAACCCUGAUCCAGCCAUGCCGCGUGAGUGAAGAAGGCCUUAGGGUCGUAAAGCUCUUUCGCCUGUGAAGAUAAUGACGGUAGCAGGUAAAGAAACCCCGGCUAACUCCGUGCCAGCCGCGGC